This 492-nucleotide ribosomal RNA is filed under the name uncultured bacterium. RNAcentral's name for it is "partial 16S ribosomal RNA". It matches the Rfam family "Bacterial small subunit ribosomal RNA", at positions 28 to 507 of the family's 1533-position model. The record is from RNAcentral.
GAUGAACGCUAGCUACAGGCUUAACACAUGCAAGUCGAGGGGAAACGACAUCGAAAGCUUGCUUUUGAUGGGCGUCGACCGGCGCACGGGUGAGUAACGCGUAUCCAAUCUGCCCACCACUUGGGGAUAACCUUGCGAAAGUAAGACUAAUACCCAAUGAUAUCCCUAGAAGACAUCUGAAAGAGAUGAAAGAUUUAUCGGUUAUGGAUGGGCAUGCGUCUGAUUAGCUUGUUGGCGGGGUAACGGCCCACCAAGGCAACGAUCAGUAGGGGUUCUGAGAGGAAGGUCCCCCACAUUGGAACUGCGACACGGUCCACACUCCUACGGGAGGCAGCAGUGAGGAAUAUUGGUCAAGGGACGAGAGUCUGAACCAGCCAAGUAGCGUGCAGGAAUACGGCCCUAUGGGUUGUAAACUGCUUUUAUAAGGGAAUAAAGUGAGUCUCGUGAGACUUUUUGCAUGUACCUUAUGAAUAAGGACCGGCUAAUUCCGUG